ACGAACGCUGGCGGCGUGCUUAACACAUGCAAGUCGAGCGGUAAGGCCCUUUCGGGGGUACGACGAGCGGCGAACGGGUGAGUAACACGUGGGUGACCUGCCUCUAGCUCUGGGAUAAGCCUGGGAAGCUGGGUCUAAUACCGGAUAUGACCUCGCGGUGCAUGUUGCGGGGUGGAAAGCCUUGUGCGGCUAGGGAUGGGCCCGCGGCCUAUCAGCUUGUUGGUGGGGUGAGGCCUACCAAGGCGACGACGGGUAGCCGGCCUGAGAGGGCGACCGGCCACACUGGGACUGAGACACGGCCCAGACUCCUACGGGAGGCAGCAGUGGGGAAUCUUGCGCAAUGGGCGAAAGCCUGACGCAGCGACGCCGCGUGAGGGAUGACGGCCUCGGUUGUAACC
This 398-nucleotide ribosomal RNA is filed under the name uncultured bacterium. RNAcentral describes it as "bacterial SSU rRNA". It matches the Rfam family "Bacterial small subunit ribosomal RNA", at positions 29 to 430 of the family's 1533-position model. The record is from RNAcentral.